This 612-nucleotide ribosomal RNA is filed under the name Vibrio splendidus. Its description in RNAcentral is "bacterial SSU rRNA". It matches the Rfam family "Bacterial small subunit ribosomal RNA", at positions 1 to 592 of the family's 1533-position model. The record is from RNAcentral. Lineage: Bacteria; Pseudomonadati; Pseudomonadota; Gammaproteobacteria; Vibrionales; Vibrionaceae.
AAAUUGAAGAGUUUGAUCAUGGCUCAGAUUGAACGCUGGCGGCAGGCCUAACACAUGCAAGUCGAGCGGAAACGACACUAACAAUCCUUCGGGUGCGUUAAUGGGCGUCGAGCGGCGGACGGGUGAGUAAUGCCUAGGAAAUUGCCUUGAUGUGGGGGAUAACCAUUGGAAACGAUGGCUAAUACCGCAUAAUGCCUACGGGCCAAAGAGGGGGAUCUUCGGACCUCUCGCGUCAAGAUAUGCCUAGGUGGGAUUAGCUAGUUGGUGAGGUAAUGGCUCACCAAGGCGACGAUCCCUAGCUGGUCUGAGAGGAUGAUCAGCCACACUGGAACUGAGACACGGUCCAGACUCCUACGGGAGGCAGCAGUGGGGAAUAUUGCACAAUGGGCGAAAGCCUGAUGCAGCCAUGCCGCGUGUAUGAAGAAGGCCUUCGGGUUGUAAAGUACUUUCAGUUGUGAGGAAGGGGGUAACGUUAAUAGCGUUAUCUCUUGACGUUAGCAACAGAAGAAGCACCGGCUAACUCCGUGCCAGCAGCCGCGGUAAUACGGAGGGUGCGAGCGUUAAUCGGAAUUACUGGGCGUAAAGCGCAUGCAGGUGGUUCAUUAAGUCAGA